This 93-nucleotide transfer RNA is filed under the name Actinoplanes regularis. RNAcentral's name for it is "tRNA-Val". The record is from RNAcentral. Lineage: Bacteria; Bacillati; Actinomycetota; Actinomycetes; Micromonosporales; Micromonosporaceae.
GCCGGCCGUGGCGAGCGCGCUGCCCAGGUGGCUGACGACCAGCUGGCGAAGGUAUUCCUGGACCUCGGCGGUGCGGAACUGCGGGUCGGUGCC